This 760-nucleotide ribosomal RNA is filed under the name uncultured bacterium. Its description in RNAcentral is "bacterial SSU rRNA". It matches the Rfam family "Bacterial small subunit ribosomal RNA", at positions 106 to 882 of the family's 1533-position model. The record is from RNAcentral.
GUGAGUAACGCGUGAGGAACCUGCCUCAAAGAGGGGGACAACAGUUGGAAACGACUGCUAAUACCGCAUAAGCCCACGGCUCGGCAUCGAGCAGGGGGAAAAGGAGCAAUCCGCUUUGAGAUGGCCUCGCGUCUGAUUAGCUAGUUGGUGAGGUAACGGCCCACCAAGGCGACGAUCGGUAGCCGGACUGAGAGGUUGAACGGCCACAUUGGGACUGAGACACGGCCCAGACUCCUACGGGAGGCAGCAGUGGGGAAUAUUGCACAAUGGGGGGAACCCUGAUGCAGCGACGCCGCGUGGAGGAAGAAGGUCUUCGGAUUGUAAACUCCUGUUGUUGAGGAAGAUAAUGACGGUACUCAACAAGGAAGUGACGGCUAACUACGUGCCAGCAGCCGCGGUAAAACGUAGGUCACAAGCGUUGUCCGGAAUUACUGGGUGUAAAGGGAGCGCAGGCGGGAGAACAAGUUGGAAGUGAAAUCCAUGGGCUCAACCCAUGAACUGCUUUCAAAACUGUUUUUCUUGAGUAGUGCAGAGGUAGGUGGAAUUCCCGGUGUAGCGGUGGAAUGCGUAGAUAUCGGGAGGAACACCAGUGGCGAAGGCGGCCUACUGGGCACCAACUGACGCUGAGGCUCGAAAGUGUGGGUAGCAAACAGGAUUAGAUACCCUGGUAGUCCACACCGUAAACGAUGAUUACUAGGUGUUGGAGGAUUGACCCCUUCAGUGCCGCAGUUAACACAAUAAGUAAUCCACCUGGGGAGUA